ACAUCUCUUCUGGCUACUCCAAGAUUUUCCAAACCUAUUGAUACAAUUGCUGACUUCCUCGAACAAGGAAUAUCUUGGGGUGAUAGAAGCCAAGAGCAAACUAUCCGUAAAGGCUUGAUUGAAAUGGGCAAUGCUGAUCUAUUAAAACUGGCAGACAAAUAUGUACUUGAGAAGUCAGAGUCAGAAGGACUAAGAAGAAUUGAGACAGGAAAGUAUGCGAAAUUUACUAAGAUCUUGUCUAAUAAUUUUGCAACUGAUACGGAGUCUUUCGAGAGUCAUGCCCAUUAUCUACGAAGAAUGAAGGAAUGCUACAAUAGAUAUUUUUCUGUAUUGCUCUUACACAAAAAGUCUCCAUAUACAGAAUUCAUAAGUCAUGG
Long non-coding RNA from Phlebotomus papatasi, 377 nucleotides. RefSeq lists it as uncharacterized. NCBI's taxonomy places the organism in Eukaryota, Metazoa, Arthropoda, Insecta, Diptera, Psychodidae. The transcript has 3 exons. The record is from RefSeq and is a predicted model, not a curated record.